RNAcentral lists this ribosomal RNA (253 nucleotides) under uncultured bacterium. RNAcentral's name for it is "partial 16S ribosomal RNA". It matches the Rfam family "Bacterial small subunit ribosomal RNA", at positions 524 to 776 of the family's 1533-position model. The record is from RNAcentral.
UACAGAGGGGGCAAGCGUUAUUCGGAAUUAUUGGGCGUAAAGGGCGCGUAGGCGGCGAUUCAAGUGACGGGUGAAAUCCCUCGGCUUAACCGAGGAACUGCCUGUCAGACUGGGUUGCUUGAGUCCGGGAGAGGUGAGUGGAACUGCGAGUGUAGAGGUGAAAUUCGUAGAUAUUCGCAAGAACACCAGUGGCGAAGGCGGCUCACUGGCCCGGUACUGACGCUGAGGUGCGAAAGCGUGGGGAGCAAACAGG